RNAcentral lists this long non-coding RNA (1165 nucleotides) under Lupinus mutabilis. RNAcentral's name for it is "partial ncRNA". The record is from RNAcentral. Lineage: Eukaryota; Viridiplantae; Streptophyta; Magnoliopsida; Fabales; Fabaceae.
GUUGGCGUAGAGAAUAUCCUUUUAUGAUAUUUGUUGGAUAAUAUAUUUUCUGUUUGGUAGUAAAAUCUCCCUGUCAUUUUUUAUGUUAGAAGAUGGCAAUAUGUGAUGGAGUAUGCUGCUGAUUCUCGUAAUGAUUAUACUACACUUAUUAGAGGAGGGAUCCACUUACUCCAAGAAGAGUAAUUUUAAAAAACUUACUCCACAUCAUAUCUAUCAAUUCUUGUGAAAUCCAAUUGUUUGAAUUGGUGAGUAGAUUUAAACCAUUGGAUUUCCCUAAAUUGAUGGUUAGAAAAAAUUACUCUUGGAGUAAAUGGAUCCCCUCUUUUAUAUGUAUAUAUGAAUGAUUGAUGUGUUUUAUUUUUGUUAAAAUUGGGUUCUGAAUCAUAGAUUGUAGUUUUGUUGACAUAAGCCAUUUUGUGGUAUUUAGCUGUAGGGCGUUGAUUUUUGUGUACAAUAGAAUUAUCUUUUGUAUUUGGAUUAUAAGUUCUUUCUGGGUUAGGACAAAGGUUAAGAUUUUUUUUGGCUCUUUGAUUUGAUAUUGAUUAUUUAGUACAAAGGCGCUGUGAAAUUAUCCGAGUCACGAAGGUGAUUAGAUAAAGCCCUCUUUAAAGUGGCAGUUCAAUUGUCGUCCUACUCCACCACUUUGACCAAACUCUGUUGGGUAGAUUGGCUGAGCUUGUGGAUAGUGGUUUGUUUGUGAGAAUGUCGUAGUGAAACGAAAGUAUUAAUCAUGUAAUGUGAAACUCUUAGCAUCAGGAGGCACUUUUGAAAGUAGACCUUGUUUUUCUCCCUACCUCAUAUAAUGUGGCUGCAAAUUAAUUGUUUUUACCUUGUAGUGGUUAUAAGGUUGAUGCUUACUGUGAUCUUUAUCAGGAGAGAAGAGAAGUUCUGUCUUGAUUCUCUCAUGUGUAUAUACUCUACUGCUCUAGCCUACCAUUUAUUCCCUCUUGAUUCUCCGACCAAGAUAAAAAGCUUAGGCUCUAAAUUAUAUGCUUGGUGUGAUUUUAUAAUUGUAGGGAAAACCUGUGACUCCAUCAUAUAUAUUUGCAGAUUAGUUCCAACUCUUGUUAUUCGUAUUUUUUAUUGUUCACUUAUGAACUCCUUUUGUUUCUGGAGGCUUUUAUAGAGCCUUUCUUGACACCCUCUAAAUCAUUGAAAACCCUAU